CGCCUCUUGCAAAAUAUAAGAGGUCCAGCCUGCCCAGUGAUAAAAUUCAACGGCCGCGGUACCCUAACCGUGCGAAGGUAGCAUAAUCACUUGUUCUCUAAAUAGGGACUAGUAUCAAAGGCACCACGAGGGCCAUACUGUCUCCUUUCUCCAAUCAGUGAAACUGAUCUCCCCGUGAAGAAGCGGGGAUUUUUUUAUAAGACGAGAAGACCCCAUGGAGCUUUAAGCAAUGUGUUCACCCUUCUGUGUUUAUAUCAACAUAACAAAUAUUCUGAACAAUAGCUUUGGGUUGGGGGGACCGCGGAGCAUAAUAUAACCUCCACGACAAACGGGCCACGCCCUUAUCCACGAGUUACAACUCUAAGAAUCAAUAAACUGAUGUUUAUGACCCGAUAUUCGAUCAACGAACCAAGUUACCCUGGGGAUAACAGCGCAAUCUACUUCAAGAGCCCUUAUCGACAAGUAGGUUUACGACCUCGAUGUUGGAUUAGGGUAUCCCAGUGGUGCAGCCGCUACUAACGGUUCGUUUGUUCAACGAUUAAAACCCU
This 548-nucleotide ribosomal RNA is filed under the name Papurana sp. FB-2006. RNAcentral's name for it is "partial 16S ribosomal RNA". It matches the Rfam family "Bacterial large subunit ribosomal RNA", at positions 1817 to 2597 of the family's 2925-position model. The record is from RNAcentral. Lineage: Eukaryota; Metazoa; Chordata; Amphibia; Anura; Ranidae.